ACUAACAAGUCAGCGUUUAUAAAAAUAUGAAGUAUCUCAUCCGCCAAUGACAAAAACCCACAGGAUACGCCACUGAUGGAUAAUCUGUUCACCUUUAACAGUCUUUGUUCCAGCCUAUCUAGGUCUGCAGUAGAUGCUAGAGGAAAGACACCACACUCUUCCUCUUCAGCCAUCUGCAUUUGGGUACUCAAGACUGGAUUUUCCUGUCUCCCACAAGAAGUACCUGUAAGUAUAAAUUUACUGUAAGGUUUUAAAUGUUAGAUGUAGUGUUACAUGCAUCUGCCUUGAGG
This is a long non-coding RNA of Carassius auratus (goldfish), 290 nucleotides long. RefSeq lists it as uncharacterized. The record is from RefSeq and is a predicted model, not a curated record. Lineage: Eukaryota; Metazoa; Chordata; Actinopteri; Cypriniformes; Cyprinidae. The transcript has 3 exons.